GACAGAGGGUGCAAACGUUGCUCGGAAUUACUGGGCGUAAAGCGCGUGUAGGUGGUCUGGCAAGUCGGGUGUGAAAGCCCGGGGCUCAACCCCGGAAGUGCACUCGAAACUACCAGGCUGGAGUACUGAAGAGGAUAGCGGAAUUCCCGGUGUAGAGGUGAAAUUCGUAGAUAUCGGGAGGAACACCAGUGGCGAAGGCGGCUAUCUGGGCAGAUACUGACACUGAGACGCGAAAGCGUGGGAAG
This 245-nucleotide ribosomal RNA is filed under the name uncultured bacterium. Its description in RNAcentral is "partial 16S ribosomal RNA". It matches the Rfam family "Bacterial small subunit ribosomal RNA", at positions 524 to 768 of the family's 1533-position model. The record is from RNAcentral.